Ictidomys tridecemlineatus (thirteen-lined ground squirrel) is the source of this 551-nucleotide non-coding RNA. The record is from RefSeq and is a predicted model, not a curated record. NCBI's taxonomy places the organism in Eukaryota, Metazoa, Chordata, Mammalia, Rodentia, Sciuridae.
UCUACAUUUUUCAUUUUUCAUCCAUCUUGUCCAUCUUUCACAAUAUUUUCCUUCGACUAUUUGCAUUAGUUGUUUAGAGUUCUUCUCUGCUAACUUUGGCAUCUGGGUCCUGAGCCAAUCUGCUGCCACCGGCUCCAUUACCUCUCAGCUAUUGCUCACAUUUUCGUAACUUUUCACAUGCCUGACAUUUAGGAAUAACUAGUAAAUAACUAGAGACUAUAGAUUACAAAUUUUCUUCCGGAGAGAACGCCUUUUUCUGUUGGUUGAGUGAAUCAGAGCAACGUGUUGCAGAAAGGAAGAGAGAAAAAACAGAAUGAAGAAGAGGCUUGAGGAAGAGAAUGGACAAAAUAUAAAGGAAAAGAGAACAAACUGUAGGAGAGAAGAGGCAAGAAGCAAUUUCUCAAUAUAAAAUAGAGAACUGACCCAAACUAUGACUUUCUACUCAUUAUAGAAUUCCACCUCUAUGGUAAGAACGUCAUGUUAUUUAGGUGUGUCUUACCUAAAUCUACCGAGUCACUGUUUUGCAGAGUAAAGGAAAUGUUAAAAAUGAA